AUUGAACGCUGGCGGCAGGCCUAACACAUGCAAGUCGAGCGGAUGACGGGAGCUUGCUCCUUGAUUCAGCGGCGGACGGGUGAGUAAUGCCUAGGAAUCUGCCUGGUAGUGGGGGACAACGUUUCGAAAGGAACGCUAAUACCGCAUACGUCCUACGGGAGAAAGCAGGGGACCUUCGGGCCUUGCGCUAUCAGAUAAGCCUAGGUCGGAUUAGCUAGUUGGUGGGGUAAUGGCUCACCAAGGCGACGAUCCGUAACUGGUCUGAGAGGAUGAUCAGUCACACUGGAACUGAGACACGGUCCAGACUCCUACGGGAGGCAGCAGUGGGGAAUAUUGGACAAUGGGCGAAAGCCUGAUCCAGCCAUGCCGCGUGUGUGAGGAAGGUCUUCGGAUUGUAAAGCACUUUAAGUUGGGAGGAAGGGCAGUAAGCUAAUACCUUGCUGUUUUGACGUUACCGACAGAAUAAGCACCGGCUAACUCUGUGCCAGCAGCCGCCGCCG
RNAcentral lists this ribosomal RNA (500 nucleotides) under uncultured bacterium. RNAcentral describes it as "partial 16S ribosomal RNA". It matches the Rfam family "Bacterial small subunit ribosomal RNA", at positions 30 to 523 of the family's 1533-position model. The record is from RNAcentral.